ACCCUUCCAAGGCGCCAGCAUAAUGGU
This 27-nucleotide small RNA is filed under the name Bombyx mori (domestic silkworm). RNAcentral's name for it is "ovarian small RNA-11289". Lineage: Eukaryota; Metazoa; Arthropoda; Insecta; Lepidoptera; Bombycidae. The record is from RNAcentral.